GCCGGGCGUGGUGGCGCACGCCUGUCAUCCCAGCGGCUUGGGAGGCUGAGACUGGAGGAUCGCAAUGGAGGAUCUGCAACGGCAAGGCUCUAAGCAACUCAGUGAGACCUUGUCUCGA
This 118-nucleotide small RNA is filed under the name Marmota monax (woodchuck). Lineage: Eukaryota; Metazoa; Chordata; Mammalia; Rodentia; Sciuridae. The record is from RNAcentral.